This 85-nucleotide transfer RNA is filed under the name Monilinia vaccinii-corymbosi. RNAcentral describes it as "tRNA-Leu". It matches the Rfam family "tRNA". From Rfam's summary of the family: Transfer RNA (tRNA) molecules are approximately 80 nucleotides in length. The record is from RNAcentral. Lineage: Eukaryota; Fungi; Ascomycota; Leotiomycetes; Helotiales; Sclerotiniaceae.
GGUGAGAUGGCCGAGUUGGUCUAAGGCGCCAGGUUAAGGUCCUGGUCUGGGUAACCGGGCGUGGAUUCGAAUUCCACUCUCAUCA